CUUUGUGAGUUGGAGGUGGUCAAGGAGCGCGACCAAGUCGCCGACGAGGUGGAGGAUGGAGUAGGCGGCGGGGUCGGUGGGCACAGACGAGUCGCCGUAGCCACGGAGGUCGGGAGCCAGCGCGCGGAAGCCGCGGGCGGCGAGCGCGGCCAUCUGGUGGCGCCACGAGAGCCAGAGCUCCGGGAAGCCGUGGAUGAGGAGGACCGCCGGCGCGUCGGCGGCGCCGCGCUCGGCGACGUGGAGGGAAAUGCCGUUGACGUCCGCGGUCCAGUGCCGCACCUGGCCCUCGGCGGCGGCGGCUUCGGCAUCCAUGCUUUUCGCUGCUCUGCUCGCUUGACGCGCUACCUGCUGCUCAAUGGCUGUUCUCACUUCCAGAAAUACAAAUCAUCUCAACCAUAAAUACUAAUCAUCUCAACCACCUGGCUCGUUCUGGAUCACAUGUUCCAUAGUGCACGCGUCGAUUGCACCUUCUGCCUACAAGACUGCAAGGCUGCAAUGACUAGCAGAAGCAACACAAGCACGCAA
This 525-nucleotide unclassified non-coding RNA is filed under the name Zea mays. RNAcentral's name for it is "misc RNA Zm00001eb032980". Lineage: Eukaryota; Viridiplantae; Streptophyta; Magnoliopsida; Poales; Poaceae. The record is from RNAcentral.